GCCAGAAUUAGAGUGUUCAAAGCAGGCAGAUCCAACUUUCUGCCACCGAAUACAUUAGCAUGGGAUAAUGGAAUAGGACCCUGUCCUCCUGACUUUCAGUUGGUUUGCCGCGAGGACCAGGGUAAUGAUUAAUAGGGAUAGUUGGGGGCAUUAAUAUUUAAUGAGGUGAAAUUCUUGGAUUUAUGAAAGAUUAACUUCUGCGAAAGCAUCUGCCAAGGAUGUCAUUAAUCAAGAACGAAAGUUAGGGGAUCGAAGACGAUCAGAUACCGUCGUAGUCUUAACCAUAAACGAUGCCGACCAGCGAUUAGGAGACGUUGAAUACAAAACACCACCAUGCGCAUUGCGGUCGUCUUUGGUGUCGCUCACAAGGCGGCACCGGGGCGGCUUAGCUCGCAUGGCACCGGUGAAUGACUCCCUAGCAGCCUUCGGCU
This 431-nucleotide ribosomal RNA is filed under the name Acanthamoeba sp. RNAcentral describes it as "SSU rRNA". The stretch from base 1 to 361 matches the Rfam family "Eukaryotic small subunit ribosomal RNA", at positions 759 to 1116 of the family's 1831-position model. The record is from RNAcentral. Lineage: Eukaryota; Discosea; Longamoebia; Acanthamoebidae.